ACGGAAGGCAGCAGUGAGGAAUAUUGGUCAAUGGGCGGAAGCCUGAACCAGCCAAGUCGCGUGAAGGAUGAAGGUCUUAUGUAUUGUGAACUUCUUUAGACGUAGAGAAAUAAGGGGGUCGUGAUCCCUGAUGCUAGUAUACGUAGAAUAAGGAUCGGCUAACUCCGUGCCAGCAGCCGCGGUAAUACGGAGGAUCCGAGCGUUAUCCGGAUUUAUUGGGUUUAAAGGGUGCGCAGGCGGUCUUUUAAGUCAGUGGUUAAAUCGUGGAGCUUAACUCCAUCCCGCCAUCGAUACUGGAGGACUUGAUUGCGGUUGAGGUUGGCGGAAUUCGCCGUGUAGCGGUGAAAUGCAUAGAUAUGGCGAAGAACUCCGAUUGCGUAGGCAGCUGACCAAGCCGUAAAUGACGCUCAUGCACGAAAGUGCGGGGAUCGAACAGGAUUAGAUACCCUGGUA
Molecule: ribosomal RNA, 453 nt
Filed under: uncultured Porphyromonadaceae bacterium
Lineage: Bacteria; Pseudomonadati; Bacteroidota; Bacteroidia; Bacteroidales; Porphyromonadaceae
Description: partial 16S ribosomal RNA
Rfam family: Bacterial small subunit ribosomal RNA
Source: RNAcentral